Molecule: unclassified non-coding RNA, 329 nt
Filed under: Callicoma serratifolia
Lineage: Eukaryota; Viridiplantae; Streptophyta; Magnoliopsida; Oxalidales; Cunoniaceae
Description: partial miscellaneous RNA
Source: RNAcentral
ACCACGAUUUUAGUGUAUACGAGUUUUUGAAAAUAAAGGGGGAAUAACCAMCCCUCUUGAUACAACAAGAAAUUGGUUAUUCCCCCUUUAUUUUAUGUAGUAGUCUUUUACUUUUACUUAUAUAAGUUUUUUUCUUUACUUCAACAUAAGAAAAGGCAUUCUUAUGGGUUGGUUUAUGAUUGAGGAUUAUACUUUAAUUUUGUUAUGUACUAAUUUUCAAUUAAAAUUUAUCUACUUUCUUCUCAAUCUUUUCUUUUGUGAAGUAAAUUUUUUACAUUUAAAAUAAAAAAGAAAGGUUUCAAUUUUCUCCCUCUUCUAUCUUAUUCUUG